This 253-nucleotide ribosomal RNA is filed under the name uncultured bacterium. RNAcentral describes it as "partial 16S ribosomal RNA". It matches the Rfam family "Bacterial small subunit ribosomal RNA", at positions 524 to 776 of the family's 1533-position model. The record is from RNAcentral.
UACGUAGGGGGCUAGCGUUGUCCGGAAUCAUUGGGCGUAAAGCGCGUGUAGGCGGUUCGGUAAGUCCGCUGUGAAAGUCGGGGGCUCAACCCUCGAAUGCCGGUGGAUACUGUCGGACUAGAGUACGGAAGAGGCGAGUGGAGUUCCUGGUGUAGCGGUGAAAUGCGCAGAUAUCAGGAGGAACACCAAUUGCGAAGGCAGCUCGCUGGGACGUUACUGACGCUGAGACGCGAAAGCGUGGGGAGCAAGCAGG